This 437-nucleotide ribosomal RNA is filed under the name uncultured bacterium. Its description in RNAcentral is "bacterial SSU rRNA". It matches the Rfam family "Bacterial small subunit ribosomal RNA", at positions 64 to 507 of the family's 1533-position model. The record is from RNAcentral.
GAACGUCCUUUCUUGCUUUGGCUAGUAGUAGGGAGUGGCGGACGGGUGAGUAACACAUGGGUGACCUGGCCUUUGGUGAGGAAUACCGGCGAGAAAUCGCCGACAAGUACCGCAUAGGCUCUGUUCGGUGGACCGAGCAGAGCAAAGCCGUUCUUCGGAGCGGUGCCAGAGGAUGGGCCUGUGGCCGAUUAGCUGGUUGGUGGGGUAAGAGCCUACCAAGGCGACGAUCGGUAGCUGGUCUGAGAGGACGAUCAGCCACACUGGGAUUGAGAACGGCCCAGACUCCUACGGGGGGCAGCAGUGAGGAAUUUUCCGCAAUGGAGGCAACUCUGACGGAGCAACGCCGCGUGCAGGAGGACGCGUUUCGGCGUGUAAACUGCUUUUCGGUGGGACGAGAAUGGACGGUACCACCGGAAGAAGCCCCGGCUAACUACGUG